CACUAAGCGGAGGAAAAGAAACUAACAAGGAUUCCCUUAGUAACGGCGAGUGAACCGGGAAGAGCCCAGCACCUAAUCCCCUGCAUCGACUGUAGCGGGAACUGUGGUGUUCAGGAGAGCCUGUGGAGCUGGCGGUGGCGUCCGAGUCCUCACGAACGGGGCUUUCGCCAGAGCGGGUGUCAGUCCUCUAGGACGCAGCCGUCCAGUUGCUCAGUACCUCCUAGGAGUCGGGUUGUUUGAGAUUGCAGCCCAAAGUGGGUGGUAAACUCCAUCUAAGGCUAAAUACUGGCACGAGACCGAUAGCAAACAAGUACCGUGAGGGAAAGUU
This 328-nucleotide ribosomal RNA is filed under the name Rhynchospio darwini. RNAcentral's name for it is "partial 28S ribosomal RNA". It matches the Rfam family "Eukaryotic large subunit ribosomal RNA", at positions 44 to 365 of the family's 3401-position model. The record is from RNAcentral. Lineage: Eukaryota; Metazoa; Annelida; Polychaeta; Spionida; Spionidae.